This 548-nucleotide ribosomal RNA is filed under the name uncultured Micrococcus sp. Its description in RNAcentral is "bacterial SSU rRNA". It matches the Rfam family "Bacterial small subunit ribosomal RNA", at positions 348 to 907 of the family's 1533-position model. The record is from RNAcentral. Lineage: Bacteria; Bacillati; Actinomycetota; Actinomycetes; Micrococcales; Micrococcaceae.
GCAGCAGUGGGGAAUAUUGCACAAUGAGCGAAAGCUGAUGCAGCGACGCCGCGUGAGGGAUGACGGCCUUCGGGUUGUAAACCUCUUUCAGCAGGGAAGAAGCGAAAGUGACGGUACCUGCAGAAGAAGCACCGGCUAACUACGUGCCAGCAGCCGCGGUAAUACGUAGGGUGCGAGCGUUAUCCGGAAUUAUUGGGCGUAAAGAGCUCGUAGGCGGUUUGUCGCGUCUGUCGUGAAAGUCCGGGGCUUAACCCCGGAUCUGCGGUGGGUACGGGCAGACUAGAGUGCAGUAGGGGAGACUGGAAUUCCUGGUGUAGCGGUGGAAUGCGCAAAUAUCAGGAGGAACACCGAUGGCGAAGGCAGGUCUCUGGGCUGUAACUGACGCUGAGGAGCGAAAGCAUGGGGAGCGAACAGGAUUAGAUACCCUGGUAGUCCAUGCCGUAAACGUUGGGUACUAGGUGUGGGGACCAUUCCACGGUUUCCGCGCCGCAGCUAACGCAUUAAGUGCCCCGCCUGGGGAGUACGGCCGCAAGGCUAAAACUCAAAGG